AAGUCGUAACAAGGUAACCGUAGGUGAACCUGCGGUUGGAUCAUUACUAAAAGAAGGACUUUAGAGUCCCCUUUAAAAAUGCUAGUGCUUGCUUAAAAAACGAGCCUAGUUAACCCUUGUGUGAACCGUUUAUUGUCUCUGGUAGGAUUACUUUUAUUUAAAGUGCCUACCAGUAAAUUUAUUAAACCCCGUUUUUUAAACAAAGUCUUAUCAAAUAUAAAAAUUUGAAACAACUUUUGACAACGGAUCUCUUGGCUCUC
Molecule: unclassified non-coding RNA, 260 nt
Filed under: fungal sp.
Lineage: Eukaryota; Fungi
Also listed under: 1 other name
Description: partial internal transcribed spacer region
Rfam family: Eukaryotic small subunit ribosomal RNA (bases 1-46)
Source: RNAcentral